GGUCCCGUGGCCUAGCGGCGAAGGCAGCACCCUUACAAGGUGGCGACCGAUGGUUCGAGUCCAUCCGGGACUA
RNAcentral lists this transfer RNA (73 nucleotides) under Rhodopirellula sp. RNAcentral describes it as "tRNA-Val". It matches the Rfam family "tRNA". From Rfam's summary of the family: Transfer RNA (tRNA) molecules are approximately 80 nucleotides in length. Their secondary structure includes four short double-helical elements and three loops (D, anti-codon, and T loops). Further hydrogen bonds mediate the characteristic L-shaped molecular structure. tRNAs have two regions of fundamental functional importance: the anti-codon, which is responsible for specific mRNA codon recognition, and the 3' end, to which the tRNAs corresponding amino acid is attached (by aminoacyl-tRNA synthetases). tRNAs cope with the degeneracy of the genetic code in two manners: having more than one tRNA (with a specific anti-codon) for a particular amino acid; and 'wobble' base-pairing, i.e. permitting non-standard base-pairing at the 3rd anti-codon position. Lineage: Bacteria; Pseudomonadati; Planctomycetota; Planctomycetia; Pirellulales; Pirellulaceae. The record is from RNAcentral.